Molecule: long non-coding RNA, 1612 nt
Organism: Osmia bicornis bicornis
Lineage: Eukaryota; Metazoa; Arthropoda; Insecta; Hymenoptera; Megachilidae
Exons: 2
Source: RefSeq, a predicted model, not a curated record
UCUGUGAAUACUAAUUUUAAAAGUGUAAUGAGUAUUUCUUUCCAACGCGUUGGAUAUGAUUUUACACUAGACUUUUUGGUUAUCGCUCUUGACUACUUGUUGAUAGUAAUAUUUUUCUUCGUUAGUUUUAGUAUUUAAAAAAAUAAAAUUACCAGUAUAAGCAGUAACUAAAAGUCAAAAGACUCAUUAUGAUAAGGUUUUAUCUUCUAAUUAUAUUACUACCACAUCAAAAGCUCUUAUUGCCAAGUUUAUCGCUUUAGCAUUCAUUGUUCUCUCGUAUUGGCCAAGCCACGUGGCUGAAGCGUGAUCGUUCUAACCUCACUUCUACUUUCAUACGUAAUAUCUUUUUACGCAGAAUGCUGCUUUCCCCCUUAUAUUUAAAGUCUCCAAAUUAUUUUCAAAUGAUAUAUUGAUAUUUGCUAAAAUCAAUUCAUGAAAUCUUAUCAUGCCCGCGUUAUGUGCAACUUUAUUAGUGGAAGUAGGGGAGAGGAAAGGAUAGAAGGAGGGAAAUGACACCGGAAAUGACGUGUUGCAUUCUGGAUUGUAUUUUCCAGGCCACGUUCUUUCACUUCGUUAAUACAAUAAACGCGUGUGUCUUAAACGGUCCAUUAUAAUAUUCAUUAGUAAGUGGUAUACAAUGAAUACAUAGAUUGAAAUAAUAAUAUUACAAGUUCUUAAUUGGAUAAACACGAUAGAACGAAGUGAUAGUGUUAUUCAAAGUAUAUAUGUUAUUAAUAGAAACUUCAUUAAAAAAUGAUAGGUUUUAAUAAAGUAAAAUAAAAAUUAGAUAGAAAUUGUGUUAUCGUUCAAAUUACAAAACUGUGGCCAUAAAUAAUUUUUCUUAGCAUUCUUUUCAAUUUUAUUUAUUUUUCAUCCAAGUAUUUGCAAUGUAUAGAAGUAAAAAUGUUUGAAUACUUCAUACUUGGAAAUAUUUAUGGCACUUGAUACGAUCCUGACGAUGGAGUUCGGCCUCGCCCCCCUUUCAUAGCAAUCAAUGCACUCACGGGAUCACAGAUGGCAGCACUGCUCCGGCCCCUGCCCACAUGUGCAAAGAUGGCCGUUUGCGAGGCCGUCUUCUCGGUUUCUUUGCUCACGUACUAUCCUUGCUGUCACUUCAUUGUUCUUUCAUUGUAAACAUAUAUUUGCGCAAAUAAGUAUAACUCUUAACUUGACUAAGCACAAUAUCCAGCUUUGUACUGAUCUGUAACGACGACGACGACGACAGCGAUGACGAUGACGAUGACGACGACGUGUCAAGCGAUGUCGUGCAAUUCCACGCAUAAUCGCUUUCACGAAUAAAUUCGUUUAACGACAGAAUGGCGAGCACAGUACAUCAGGACAACAUCGCCCAUAUGCGAACUUGAAUACUCGAGAAAAUUCGGGUUUUUUUUCUUUCUUUCUUGUUAACUGUAAAAUUUGGUUUUAAUUAAAAUGUGGUUUAUGAUUGAUAAUGAUAAUUACAGGAUGGGAGUUCUUCCCCGUGUUAAUUAAAUAUAUUUGAUAAUCACUCUCUAUAUACUUGCUCCAAUGAUGAAUAUUCGAAUAUGUACAUGAUAAAAGAAGCGUCAAGUUCGUACUUAAUAAAUAAAUAAAUAAAUAAAUAAAUAAUUUA